RNAcentral lists this ribosomal RNA (496 nucleotides) under uncultured bacterium. Its description in RNAcentral is "partial 16S ribosomal RNA". It matches the Rfam family "Bacterial small subunit ribosomal RNA", at positions 29 to 507 of the family's 1533-position model. The record is from RNAcentral.
AUGCACGCUGGCGGCGUGCCUAAUCCCUGCAAGUCGAGCGAACGGACGAGAAGCUUGCUUCUCUGAUGUUAGCGGCGGACGGGUGAGUAACACGUGGAUAACCUACCUAUAAGACUGGGAUAACUUCGGGAAACCGUAGCUAAUACCGGAUAAUAUUUUGAACCGCAUGGUUCAAAAGUGAAAGACGGUCUUGCUGUCACUUAUAGAUGGAUCCGCGCUGCAUUAGCUAGUUGGUAAGGUAACGGCUUACCAAGGCAACGAUGCAUAGCCGACCUGAGAGGGUGAUCGGCCACACUGGAACUGAGACACGGUCCAGACUCCUACGGGAGGCAGCAGUAGGGAAUCUUCCGCAAUGGGCGAAAGCCUGACGGAGCAACGCCGCGUGAGUGAUGAAGGUCUUCGGAUCGUAAAACUCUGUUAUUAGGGAAGAACAUAUGUGUAAGUAACUGUGCACAUCUUGACGGUACCUAAUCAGAAAGCCACGGCUAACUACGUG